This 5993-nucleotide long non-coding RNA is filed under the name Homo sapiens (human). Its description in RNAcentral is "HSALNT0258475". Lineage: Eukaryota; Metazoa; Chordata; Mammalia; Primates; Hominidae. The record is from RNAcentral.
GUACAAGGAGGGCAGAACCGCCGCGGAGCUUUGUGGAAAUGAGGGGCUGGGGGGCGUCAACAGCCCCGGGGAGGGGGCGCGCCGGAGAGGCCGGGCGGCUGCCCCCGCGCCCAUAGGCCCCGGGAGCUGUUCGUCAACACUAGGCCCCGCCUCCUCCCGCGGUUCCCCGCCUCGUCUCGUGCUGCGCUGGCCGGAAGGAAGCGGCACACUUCCGCUUGCCUGGUCCGCAUUGAGUCCGGUCUGUUCCGGAGACUCUGAGCGCGGCCGCGGAGCUGCAGUGGCGGGGAGUGGGGUGCGGAUCUUGUGUUUGCGCACGCAGUCGCCGGCCACCUCAGGCCGGAGCUAGAGAUACGGCUCGGGAUAGGAGGGCCCGGCGGCUCUGAGGCAGGUUCGCCUCGAGCCGCACGGCCCGGAGCAGCGGCUCCGCGGUGGUCCCCGGGGCUUGAGAGGGGUGCGGGCCUGGGAGCCCCUGAGGGCCUGAUUUACGGAACUCCCCCUCCUUCCUCCUUUCUGCCGUUCCCUGCUCUGUGGCGGAUGCGCAGGGAUCAGUAGGGACGGCAGCAGUAGGGCCACUCGGGCCUGCCCCGCUUCCCGCAUUGCCCGGUUUGGCGCGCCGCCUCCGGGCCUUGGCAAAGCCCCAGCGCCCGAUUGUCACUGACCAGUGCUUGGAAGUCCUUUACCGACUGCCCGUCAGCGUCCCGCGGAGAGGAUUUUGCGUCUCCAAAGACGCCCCUCUUCCGAAAACAGGCUCCUCUGUGUUCUCAGUCGGGUAUAUUUUUCUGUCUCCAAACUAGAUUGGCAGCCGUUUUUUGAGAGCAGAAGGGAUGGCCAUCUGGGACCUCCACCCGUGAAAAGGCGGCUCAUUGGUCUGACUCCAACACUAAAUUACGCCAUCCAGGAAGCCUUUCCUAGUCACCUCUGUUGGAGAUCGUCCUCCUUUGUGUGUCGGUUGUUAGUAAAGAGCACACGUUCUGUGGAAAGAUGUUGAGGUAUCUGCUGGAUGGCUUUGAUAGAAACAAAUGUCAGCUGUUUUUUCAGAUGGCAUUUGUCUUGUUUCAGCCUGGUUGUUGGUAGCUUUUCUGUCGCCUGGCUUGAGGGCAAGGACUGUAUGUUUAUUUUUCACGUUAAGAUGCCUUUAUGUGCAUGUGUCUGUUUCAUGAAUACAUAGGUGAAUUGAGUUCCCCUUAAAUAGGAUUUCCCUCUUAUUUUAUAGGUUUUUUUUUUUCUCUCAAGUUGUUUCACUCUGGGGGAAAUGUGACCAUUGUGAAAUAUCAUCGCUUAGUUAAAAAGAAAGUAGAAUUCAGCAGUAGCUGCUUUUUUUAAUACUAUGAAAAGACAUUCCUAAGCAAGAUGAAGCUUUGAGACUUUUCCUAAGUAGGACCUACUGCUGAGAGUAAGUCUUGGGGAGAAUAAGCCAAUUAAGAAUGAGUCUUUGGUUCUGAUAAAGUAACCAUGGAGGUGAUGGAUAAUGAGUGUAGGUCCUUGCUCACACUUCUGGCCAUAUGAGCCCGGAGCCAGGGAGGUACUAUAAAAGGAAUGGGCUCCUGUAAUGGACUGUGACUGCAGUGGUGGUAUAUAGCAAGACUUCCGGUUUGCAGUAGGUUUAGAAGCCUAAAUAGUCUCCCUGGUUGUCUCUGCCAGGGCCACAAAUAGUUGUGCUGUGCAUCUCAAAAGUGUGGUCUGGGGAUCUGCAGCGUCACUGUCACCAUCACUUGGGAGGUUGUUAAGAAAUGCAUGUUAUCAGGCCCUACCCCACGCCUACUCAAUUUAGAAUCUGUAGGGCUAGGGGACCACUAAUCUUUAAGAAGUUGAUAUGGUUAGGCUUUAUGUCCACACCCAAAUCUCAUCUUGAAUUGUAAUUCCCAUAAUCCCCACCUUUCAAGGGAGAGACCAGGUGGAGGUAAUUGAAUUAUGGAGGCAGCUUCCCCCAUGCUGUUCUCAUGAUAGUGAGUUCUCACAAGAUGUGAUGGUUUUAUAAGGGGAUCUUGCCUCUUCGCUCAGCACUUCUUCCUGCCUCCUUGUGAGGAAAGUGCCUUGCUUCCCCCUUUGCCUUCUGCCAUGUUUGUAAGUUUUCUGAGGCUUCCCCAGCCAUGCUGAACUGUGAGUCAAUUAAACUUCUUUCCUUUAUAAAUUACCCAGUCUUGGGCAUUCUUUGUAGCAGUAUCCUUUAUAGCAGUAUGUAUAGCUGUAUGGACUAGUACAGAAGUUUUCCAGAUAAUUCUGUGCUCGGAAAAGUUUGGGAACCACAGCAGAACCUUGUUACUCAACAUGUGGUCUGUGGGCUGUGCAGCAUGGGCAUCACCUGGGGUCUUCUGAGAAAAGCCAGGUCUCAGGUCCUACCCAAGACCUGUGUAGCCAAAAUCUGCAUUUUAAUAUGACCCCCAGGUCAUUUAUGUGUACAUCACACUUUGAGAAGCACUGCACCAGAAAUCUUUUAACACUGUUCAUUACAUCCAUCCCAUGGAAGUAUCUUGUCUUGGGAUCCCGAGGGUGUGAGUUCUUCCGUCUUACUGGCUUUUUCCUGUCUGAUACAUGAUGUCCAUUUUAAAAAUUUUAUUUAUUUUAACUUUUUGAGGUAGAGUCUAACUUUGUCACCCAGGCUGGUGUGCAGUGGGGUGAUUUCGGCUCACUGCAACCUCCGUCUCCCGGAUUGAAACGAUUCUCCUGUCUCAGCCUCCUGAGUAGCUGGCAUCACGUGCUGGCCACCACGCCCGGUUAAUUUUUGUAUGUUUAGUAGAGACAGAGCUUCACCAUGUUGGCCAGGCUGGUCUCAAACUUCUGAUCUCAAGUCAUCCACCUGCCUUGGCCUCCCAAAGUGCUGGGAUUACAGGUGUCCUCCACUGCGCCCAGCCCAGUGUUCAUUUUUCAAUUGUUUGACUUAGUAUAAACACUCUCCAUCAUUCCUGCCUUCUGUGACAACAGACUGUGCGUGUUUCCUCUGUCUACCUUUCAGGCAUUCCUUUUAAGUUUCAUGCAGCUACUCCUCCUCCCUCCUCCCUUCUCUUUCUCUUCUUUCUUCUUUUCUUCUUUCUUCCUCUUCCUUCUUCUUCCUCUUCCUCCUGUUCUUCCUCCUCCUCCUCUCUUCUUUCUUCUUCUCCUCCCUUCUCCCUUUUUGGAAAGAGGACUUACUGUGUCAUCCAGCCUAGAGUGCAGUGGCUGAAUCAUGGCUCAGUGCAGCCUUGCUCUCAAAGGCUCAAGCAAUCCUCCCAUCUCAUCUUCCAGAAUAGCUAGGUUACAGGCAUGCACCACCAUGCCUGACUAAUUUUUUAAAAAUUUUUUUGUAAAGAUUGGGGGUGGCAGGGGGUCUCUCUGUUGCCCAGGCUGGUCUCAAACUCCUGGGCUGCAGCGAUCCUCUUGCCUCAGCCUUCCAAAUUGUUGGGAUUACAGGCAUGAGCCACCAUGCCUGGCCUCCUCUUCCUCUUAAAAAUCAAUGAUUCUGUGGCCCGUGGAUCUGAUUUCCACUGAUACUCUGAUAACUCCUGUUUUUAUGUCCAGGUGUAUCUCCUGGUCUCCAGGUGCCAUAUGUCCACUGCCUAUUGGACAUUUCCAUGUGUGUAAACACCUCAAACUCAACAUGUUAAACCUUUUUCUAAUCCCCACACUUGCGGUUCCUUCUGUGUGCUCCAUUUACCUUAUUGCUCAAAUCAAGAGCCUAGAAGCCAUCCUUGAUUCCUCUCUAUUGUGUAAUCCACACAUCCAAUCAUCCAUUGAGUCCUGUUGGCAUUUAUCUCGUAAAUACCUCAGAUCUUGUUCACUUUGCUCAUCUCUGUUGCCACCACCGUAGUCCAUUUACCUGUAUGUAAUAACCAUAGUGAUCUUACUAAAAUAUAAAUCCCUUGGAGGCGUUUUGGCUUUAUUAUAAAAAUUAAGCUCCAUGACACAGCUUGUAAGGACUGCCACGAAUCAGGCUCUGUUUCCCUCUUCAACCUCUCCUUCACUUUCUAUUCACAUAAACCUCUGUCAGAGGUUUGUCACGUGGCUUAUAAAAAGUCUUAAACCCUCUUUAAUUGACUAGGUACUCUUCAGCCUUUAGACCUCAGCUUACACGAUCUGUGCUGCCUCAUGUUUAUCCUCAUACAGUAUCCGGUUCCACAGAAUCAUGGUUUUUCUUUGUGAACAACAGAAUACCGUGGAAGUGACAGUGUGGGACUUCUGAGGCUAAGUCAUAAAAGACAUCCCAGUUUCAGCCUUAGCCUCUCUUGGAUUGCUCACUUAGCGGGGAUGCCAGCCACCAUGUAGUGAGGACACUCAAACUGCCUGUAGAGAAGGCCACGUAGGCAACAGCCUGCACCACCUUGGCAGCCAUGGGAGUGAGCCAUCUUGGAAGUAUUAGGUUGGUGGGACAUUAAAAGUAAUGGCAAAAACCAAGAUUACUUUUGCACCAACCUAAUAGAUCGGCCAGCUACAGGUCAGCCUUCAGAUGGCGGCAUAAGAGAUCUUGGGCCAGAAGUGCCCAUCUAUGCCACUCCCAAGUAUUUGACACACAGAGACUAUGAGGAUAAUAAAUGUACAUUGUUUUUUUAAGCCACUAAGUUUUGGGGGUAAUUUUGUACAAUGAUAGAUAACCAAUACAAUAUCCACCGUAUGUAUGUGUUACGAUUUAUUUAUUCCCAUCUAGUUGGACAUCUAGGUUGUUUCUAGUUUUAUGCUAUUUCAGGGAAUGCUGUAAGAACAUACUUAUAUUUAUGUAACUCUUUAGGAUGUAUUUCUGGAAACAGGGUUGUUGGAAUUCAUAUUCUUUUUUUUUUUUUUGAGACAGAGUCUCACUCUGUCGCCCAAGCUAGAGUGCAGUGGCGCAAUCUUGUCUCACUGCAACCUCUGCCUCCCAGGUUCAAGCGAUUCUCCUGCCUCAGCCUCCUGAGAAGCUUGGAUUACAGGCACCCGCCAUCAUGCCGGGCUAAUUUUUGUCUUUUUAGUAGAGAUGGGAUUUCACCAUGUUGGCUAGGCUGGUCUUGAACUCCUGACCUCAAGUGAUCCACCCGCCUCGGCCUCCCAAAGUGCUGGGAUUACAGUUGUGAGCCACCAUGCCCAGCCCUAGAACUCAUAUUCUAAAUUGUGAUAAACAUUGGUAAACUACAUUCCAAAAAGGUUAAAGAUUCUAUUGUUUUUCUCUUCCACCAGUGGGUAUUAUGACACUUAUUUCUCCAUGCCAUUGCCAACAAUUAGUUUUUAAAUCUUUGCCAAUCUUAGGUGACAAAUAAUACAUGAUUAGUGUGCAUUCUUUAUUAAUGAGGUGAAGACAAUAUAUCAGGAGUUUAUUGGCUAUUUGCAUUUCUUUUGUAUAAUUUGUCUUUUUGUGUUCUUUCACCAUCUAUUUAAUCUUGCUGUGACGGGAUUAUUUAUAGAUUAUGAGUUUUUUUUGUUUUUGUUUUCGAGACAGGGUCUUGCUCUGUUGCCCAGACUGGAGUGCAGUGGCGCCAUCUCAGCUGACUGCAGAUUCAACCUUCUGAGCUCACGAAAUCCUCCCAUCUCAACCUCCUGAGUAGCUGGGACCACAGGCUGAGCACAGGGUUGCUCCAGGUGGGCCCAAAUGCUGAAGAGCCUCAUGUUAGAGUUUUUCACCUCUGCGAUGGAACUGUGGUGGACUCCAGUAUCAUCAUUCCAGGGAGGCAUAGCCGCACCAACUGUGUUCCCAGGUUUCACAUGGAGAAGGGUUUUAGAAAGUGCAGAUAGCCUUGAAACCAUUGGUUUCCUACCACUGUUUAUUUCAGCAUAACUUUUUUUGUGUGGAAUGCUAGCUCUGGAAGAGCAGAAAUAAAUACAGCUUAAGCUUUGAACCAUAUCCUGCUGUACUUUUUCUCAUAAGCUGGAAAUAGAAUUUUCUAACACCGUUUGUGGUUGGAAAUACUGAAUUUAAAUGGGACUGCAGAUAUAAACAAAAAGAACAAGAUGUGGAUUGAUGUGCCUAUUUCAGUAAAACACAGCCACAUUAUUUCUGAAAUAUGGAUACUAAAGAUGACAAGUAGAAAAAAAAUUGGAGAUGUGCACAGUUG